CGGGCUCUCUGGCCGCCAGGUAGAGCGUUGGUUCCGUCGCCGCCGCAACCAGGACCGGCCCAGUCUCCUCAAGAAGUUCCGAGAAGCCAGCUGGAGAUUCACAUUUUACCUGAUUGCCUUCAUUGCCGGCAUGGCCGUCAUUGUGGAUAAACCCUGGUUCUAUGACAUGAAGAAAGUUUGGGAGGGAUAUCCCAUACAGGUAUGAGUUCUGCUUCCUCAUGUGGGGGUGGACUAAGACACACCCUAGUGAAGAGACGGUUUGUGGAAUCCAUGGCAGAGGGAUUAGAGUGAUGGAAUGAAAAACCUCAGGGGCUAGGGGGUUUGUGGAGUGGGGACACCCUUGGGGCUGGUUGCUCUUACCUCUCUCUCCUCUCCCAGAGCACUAUCCCUUCCCAGUAUUGGUACUACAUGAUUGAACUUUCCUUCUACUGGUCCCUGCUCUUCAGCAUUGCCUCUGAUGUCAAGCGAAAGGAUUUCAAGGAACAGAUCAUCCACCAUGUGGCCACCAUCAUUCUCAUCAGCUUUUCCUGGUUUGCCAAUUACAUCCGAGCUGGGACUCUAAUCAUGGCUCUGCAUGACUCUUCCGAUUACCUGCUGGAGUCAGCCAAGAUGUUUAACUACGCGGGAUGGAAGAACACCUGCAACAACAUCUUCAUCGUCUUCGCCAUUGUUUUCAUCAUCACCCGACUGGUCAUCCUGCCCUUCUGGAUCCUGCAUUGCACCCUGGUGUACCCACUGGAGCUCUAUCCUGCCUUCUUUGGCUAUUACUUCUUCAAUUCCAUGAUGGGAGUUCUACAGCUGCUGCAUAUCUUCUGGGCCUACCUCAUUUUGCGCAUGGCCCACAAGUUCA
Molecule: small RNA, 850 nt
Filed under: Pan troglodytes (chimpanzee)
Lineage: Eukaryota; Metazoa; Chordata; Mammalia; Primates; Hominidae
Description: retained intron
Source: RNAcentral